This is a non-coding RNA of Marmota flaviventris (yellow-bellied marmot), 279 nucleotides long. The record is from RefSeq and is a predicted model, not a curated record. NCBI's taxonomy places the organism in Eukaryota, Metazoa, Chordata, Mammalia, Rodentia, Sciuridae.
UCGGCAGCUCUGGGGUCCCUCUGCUCGCAGCCGCAGCAGCGCCGCCUGCGCCACUCGGCGGAGACGGAGACCAGCGGCGGUGACGCGCGGACCGGGAGCGACUGCCGAGCAGCCGAGCGGCUGGGGACGCACGCAGGGCAGCCGCUUUGAAUAACAUGAAGAAGAAGAGUGGGAGACAAGAGGAAAGGUAAGGUUGAAAGAAGGCAAGAGGAAAGGAGGGAAGUAGGAAGAAACUCCAGCAAUAACCAACACAAUAAAUUGUAUCCUGGACCACCUCGA